GGUGACCCCCUGCAGCCUUCUGCAAUGGCUGCAGUUUCUUGCCUAGUGGCACAAGGCUUUUUUAUUUUUUAUUUUUCUUUUUCAAUAUGCAUACACACACAGUCACAUACAUAUAAUCAAGCAAGAAUUUUGAAUAUUUUAAGUAACUGUUUGAUUCAUUUUGUUGAUCCUCGGAUAUCAUUCCAUACUUCAGAUUCAAUCUGGGAAGGGUAACCCCAAUCUAAGGAAAGUAUCGGAGCCGUCAAAAUCUUGAGCAGGAUCUGCUGAGCUACUGGUAUUGGUUAACAUAGAAUCUGAUGACCCUACUGACACAUUCAUCAUUUGCUUCUUUAGUCGCUCGUUCUCUUCCAUCAAUUGAGCCUCCUUGUUUUUGAGGGCAUUUAUUUCAUUUGCAAUUGCAUCACCCUUUGUUUCCAUGACUCGCUUCAAGCCUCUUUCAACUGAUUUCUCUAAUUGUUGAAGUUCUUCAAUGCUCAAUCCUUGGAGUUCUUCUCCCCUCAUCUGCCUCAGUUCACGGGUCUUCUCUUCUACUUCCUUGCUCAGUGCAGCAGACGUACCAUCUUUAAGCUGCAGCUCAAGAGAAGGUUGAUCUAACUUGCCAAUGUUCUUUGGAUGCAAAUUGUGUCUUUCAAUCACUUGAGUCAUACUUGAGCUAGCAUACUCAAAGAGCUUCCCAGUUGCAGAAAAGACAAUGAGUGCAAUCUCAGCAUCACAAAGAGUAGAGAG
Molecule: unclassified non-coding RNA, 726 nt
Filed under: Hevea brasiliensis (rubber tree)
Lineage: Eukaryota; Viridiplantae; Streptophyta; Magnoliopsida; Malpighiales; Euphorbiaceae
Source: RNAcentral